GGGAAGCAGGAGGAGAGGAGGGAGGGGCAGGUUUAUGGAGGGGGCUGGUAAGCUCACUCUGGGGUAUGCCUAGUUUCAGGGGCCUGCAGGACACUGAGGGCGAGAUUUCUAGGAGACAGACAUGGGUCUGAAGCAUGGAGGGAAGUCAGAGGGGGAGAGAUGACCUUGAUACAGUCAAGCACAGAGUUGGUCAUGGGGCACCACGAGCACCAGCACAGUGCCUCCCACGGAGCACGGACUCAGAAAUGUUUGUUGUUGCCUGUGAGAGUCCUGUCACUGGUGGCUUCAUAGAGGUGAUGACGUUUGAGAUGAAGAAACCGAGGCUCCAAGGGCUCACGAUGCUGGCCGAAGAUGGAAAAGUUAGUUAAUGGAAUGGAUAUCAGUUCAGUGAAUUGUGCACACGGAUGGAUUCAAGCAGGAAACGUGAGUGACCGGUGCUGAGUUCCUUCUGAAUCUGCAGGAGGAUUUUCCUGGAAAUCUUUAGAGGGAGCUGUGAGGGCUUGGGCUGCAG
Molecule: long non-coding RNA, 511 nt
Filed under: Felis catus (domestic cat)
Lineage: Eukaryota; Metazoa; Chordata; Mammalia; Carnivora; Felidae
Description: lncRNA (ENSFCAG00000040973.2)
Source: RNAcentral